AACCAACAUUUAUGCACUCAUGUGAGACAGGGCCUUCCCCUUCGGGGGACAGAGUGACAGGUGGUGCAUGGUUGUCGUCAGCUCGUGUCGUGAGAUGUUGGGUUAAGUCCCGCAACGAGCGCAACCCUUGACCUUAGUUGCCAGCAUUCAGUUGGGCACUCUAAGGUGACUGCCGGUGACAAACCGGAGGAAGGUGGGGAUGACGUCAAAUCAUCAUGCCCCUUAUGACCUGGGCUACACACGUGCUACAAUGGAUGGUACAAAGGGCUGCGAGACCGCGAGGUUGAGCCAAUCCCAAAAAACCAUUCUCAGUUCGGAUUGCAGGCUGCAACUCGCCUGCAUGAAGCCGGAAUCGCUAGUAAUCGCGGAUCAGCAUGCCGCGGUGAAUACGUUCCCGGGCCUUGUACACACCGCCCGU
Molecule: ribosomal RNA, 418 nt
Filed under: uncultured Bacillus sp.
Lineage: Bacteria; Bacillati; Bacillota; Bacilli; Caryophanales; Bacillaceae
Description: bacterial SSU rRNA
Rfam family: Bacterial small subunit ribosomal RNA
Source: RNAcentral